RNAcentral lists this ribosomal RNA (497 nucleotides) under uncultured bacterium. RNAcentral's name for it is "partial 16S ribosomal RNA". It matches the Rfam family "Bacterial small subunit ribosomal RNA", at positions 28 to 507 of the family's 1533-position model. The record is from RNAcentral.
GAUGAACGCUGGCGGCGUGCCUAAUACAUGCAAGUCGAGCGAACAGACGAGGAGCUUGCUCCUCUGACGUUAGCGGCGGACGGGUGAGUAACACGUGGAUAACCUACCUAUAAGACUGGGAUAACUUCGGGAAACCGGAGCUAAUACCGGAUAAUAUAUUUAACCGCAUGGUUCAAUAGUGAAAGACGGUUUUGCUGUCACUUAUAGAUGGAUCCGCGCCGCAUUAGCUAGUUGGUAAGGUAACGGCUUACCAAGGCAACGAUGCGUAGCCGACCUGAGAGGGUGAUCAGCCACACUGGAACUGAGACACGGUCCAGACUCCUACGGGAGGCAGCAGUAGGGAAUCUUCCGCAAUGGGCGAAAGCCUGACGGAGCAACGCCGCGUGAGUGAUGAAGGUCUUCGGAUCGUAAAACUCUGUUAUUAGGGAAGAACAAAUGUGUAAGUAACUAUGCACGUCUUGACGGUACCUAAUCAGAAAGCCACGGCUAACUACGUG